Molecule: non-coding RNA, 1437 nt
Organism: Biomphalaria pfeifferi
Lineage: Eukaryota; Metazoa; Mollusca; Gastropoda; Planorbidae
Source: the annotation of a GenBank genome assembly
UUCUACUGAUUAUACUUUUAUUAACACAUGGACUAUGCACUGACCUAAAUACAAUCAAAACAGUUACAAACAAUCAAGACAUCCACGUUAAAGGGACUAACAUAUAAAGGACAUUAUUCAAUGAGACAAGGGAGGUAACUCUAACAUCAAUGACAUCCGUGUAUUACCUACUAGAUGCCAUCCCCUUCAGUGUCACCGACACACACUACAUUCAGAGGGUACUACAUUCACAACAGUACACAGAGUGGUAGACAUCCCAGCCAAACUAACACCAUCAGGCUGUUGACCACAGACAUGCUGGCGACAUGGAAUGUUGGAAUGUCCCAGACAAGUUUUGUCUAAACCUAAUACAAAUCAUCUUAGAGAUUGCAUUCAUAAACAUAAAACCCAAAAAAAUAAUGGAAUUAAUUGUUUUUUUCAUGAACUGGGACAGUCAUAUUUUCAAGACAGAAUCUCAUGUUUAAUAAAAAAAAAUUAAAAAAACAACAACAACGGAACAUACAUCAAUGUUAGUCCUGUGUCACAAAACACAAACUGUAUCUACAGGGACAUUUCAGUGAAACAUGAGACCCACAGAGCACAAACUAAAAAAAAACAAAAAAAAACACAUAAACUUCAUACAAAAAAAUGAUGAAACUCAAUGGUAAAGAUAUAAAACAAAACAUAUAGUCAAAGUAAAUCAAUCUAUCAACUGUUUGCUAUGUACAGGGGAAAACAUUUUAAAACAUUUAUCAUCUUACUAUAGACGAAGUCAACAUGGACAGGGAGUCCCUUCUUCACACACAGUGACUCCAAUGAUAUGCACACAUAUACACUGAGCCCAAUAGCUUCAGAUAUUAGGAAACACAGCAAAGGUUCUUAAAAUGAGAUCACUGACCCAGUGAUACACAACUAGCCUUGUAGAUUGACUUCAAAGAAAACAAUUUGAACAGAAAUAACACAAGAGUUUGACACAGAUCAACACUACAGGUUAUUGUUAAUCAGAUCAGACGUGCAAUUCUUACUUCACAAAAUGUGUCUCUCUAUUCAAGUCUAGAAAGCUUAUUGAAAAAAAAGUCCAACAAAAUAAAACUUAUAGAAAGUUAUUUUUCAAAAGAAUCAUUCAGUAUCUUCUAAAAAUGCUUGUAUUCAGCACUGUCUUAUCAGAAAAAUGUUUACAAGAAAAACUUCAGACCAAUUAACUAUGUAGUUAACAAACAAUUGAAAUGAUCUCCCUUCCAUUGAGAGAAGACAUUCAUCAAACUAUCAAUAUUUGAUGUGGUCCUGACAAAUCAAUUUUAUCAACUGAUAUAGAGCAUUAGGCUGUCAAGAUUGAUAAGAUCCUAAUCUAAUCCUAUCCUUGAAAUAUAAACAGAUCAUUAGGCUGUCAAGAUUGAUAAGGUCCUAAUCUAAUCCUAUCCUUGAAAUAUAAACAGAUCAUUAGGCUGUCAAGAUUGA